AUGUCCUUGGAUGAUGAAGACAGCUCAUGGAUGUCCCGUGUGUUAGAGAACCAACUAAAGGGUUUAUCUUCUGCUGCUAGGAAGACUACCGGGAAGACUGCAAGCACCCGUCCUGCAUCCCGCUCGUGUGAAGUAAAAGAUACCGACAAGCGAGCUGUCGAAGUUUCAGAUUCUGAUCAUGAGGAUAGUGAUGGUGGCAGUGAUGGUCACUCUGACGAAGAUCUAGAUUUUCACGUUCAUUACCAUGGUUCUUCAGGUGGGCCGAACGCCCAUGAGGCUUCAGGUAGUGGGGGUAGUGCUGGACCGAAUGCCCAUGUUGCUUCAGGUAGUGGCGCAGCGAAUGCAGAUGUGGGUGCAACCAUGUUUGCAACUGCCAAUGUGUCGGUAAGGUCAGCCGGAAUUGAUGCAACUGCUACUGCAGGAACCGAUCAGCCUCUCGAGUCUCAGAUUAUGCUUACUGCACGUUCCGGGAAUGUAUCUAGUGAUGGAUUGCAUAACUAG
This 501-nucleotide ribosomal RNA is filed under the name Triticum aestivum (bread wheat). RNAcentral's name for it is "partial small subunit ribosomal RNA". The record is from RNAcentral. Lineage: Eukaryota; Viridiplantae; Streptophyta; Magnoliopsida; Poales; Poaceae.